Asterias rubens (European starfish) is the source of this 5355-nucleotide RNA transcript. It is a transcript of the gene named death-associated protein kinase 1-like, with no coding region annotated. NCBI's taxonomy places the organism in Eukaryota, Metazoa, Echinodermata, Asteroidea, Forcipulatida, Asteriidae. The transcript has 27 exons. The record is from RefSeq and is a predicted model, not a curated record.
CUAGCUGUACAUGAUGAUUCAGAUCGUGUACUAAUUCACAACUUCCUGUCACAUUAACGCACACAGUAAGUGCAUUCGAAAUACCUGUUAACGUUCCUUCUUUAUAACUGGAACGGGUCGUUUUUACUAUUCUCUGACUUUGUUCUGCCAGUAGUAAGAACUUCAAUGUCAACAUUUUGGUACAUAUAUAGGACGUCAAUAUAGGCUCCCACCAUGGGGAGUGCUGCUACUGAGAGUCUGUUAUCAGCAGCUAUGAGUGGAGAAACAAAUAAACUCAGACGAUGUAUACAACAGGGAGCCAACGUCAAUGCUAGGGAUAUACAAUUAUUGUUUGCCAGGACUCCAUUGCACUAUGCUGCUGGUAGUGGCUAUGAUGCUAUCUGUGAUAUACUAAUCCAGGCAGGUGCAGGGGUAAAUGCUGUUGACAAGAAUGGGAGGAGUCCUUUACACUAUGCUGCUAAGAGUGAUCAUGUGCACAUCUGUAAAGCCAUGCUACAAGUAUCGGCAUUGCUAGAGCAGACAGAUCAGUUUGGUGAUACCCCUUUGUUAACUGCAGCUUCUUGGGGAAGUAGUGGUGUUUGUCAAGCAUUGAUAUCAGCAGGAGCUAAUGUCACAGCUAAAAACCAGCAUGGUCAUAGUGUUUUACAUGAGGCAUCAGCUGCUGGCCAUGUGGACACUUGUAAGACACUCAUUAAUGCAGGAGCUAGUCCAUUUGCAUUGGAUCAGUUGUGCAAUACACCACUGCACUCUGCAGUUUCCAGUGGUAAAAUCAACACAUGUCGUAUAUUACUGGAUAAAGGAUCAGAUGUCAAUGCACGUAAUAAGGAUGGUAAUACUGCGCUACACAUAGCCUGUACACAGGGACAUCAUCAAAUGUGUCAACUACUACUUGACCGAGGUGCUGAUAUUCUUACUAAGAAUCAGCUUGGUGAUACAGUGUUACAUGCAGCAGUAACUAGUGGCAAGCUGGCAACCUGUGCAAUCAUCCUACAGAAUCAAGCUGAUAUCAUGUCAAGAAAUAAAAAUGGUAAUUGUGCGUUACAUGUAGCAGCUAGUCUCGGCAAUGCAGACAUAUGUCAUUUACUCAUCACAGCUGGUUGUGAUGCUCUACUCAUUAAUAAUGAGGGUAAGCCACCGAGUGGUCUGCUACCUCGUAAGGCGGGUAAAGCUGCUAAGAUCAUCACUCAAGCAGAGAAGAAGCAAAAGUAUGACAAGUUAGUCCAAAUGGGAACUGUUCCCAUUGAUGUGGUCAAACUCUUCUUAAUUGGUGAUCCGAAAGCUGGUAAAACCACACUGCAGAAGGCACUCAUCAAGAAGCCUCACUGGUGGUUGCCUGGUAACUGGCAGAAUUUACCAAGUGGUUACCAUGACUACGAGGCAACGCCAGGGAUUGAGCUGAGUAAAUGCAAUGUACCCGGAGCUGGAACCUUUGCAUUCUGGGAUUGCGCCGGGCAACUAGAGUAUCAUGUGACCCAUGCUAUGUUCCUCGGGGCACAGAACUGUAUUUAUGUACUUGUGUAUGACAUCACUAAACAAAACCAGUAUGGAUCGUUACGAAGAUGGUUGGCCUUUGUGAAAGCUGGACAUGAUUACGCCUACCAGACUAAACCAGACGUUGUUCUUGUUGCUACUCAUCUAGAUCAACUGACCAGCAACAUGGAGGGUAAAGCUCUGGCUGCAUCAAUGCUGAAGCAGAUUCAAGCAGAGUUUUCCAAUCAUCUCAAUGUAUUGAAUGAUGUCAUCGCUAUAAAUAGCAUGAAGUAUGGAUCUAAGGCGAUGGUUCGACUAAGGGACACACUCGAGUCUCUUGCAUCUCGUAUUAAGGGGAGUCGAGUAAUGCCUCGUCUAUGUGAAGAGAUCAGACGAUUGAAGCAUACUUGGUAUCAAACCAACUAUCCGGUCAUUUCAUGGACACAGUUCUGUUGUAAAGUGAAGACUGUUAACAGAUCAGCUGAUGAUAGUUUGCAUCGAACUGCAGCUGUCUUUCUGACUGCAAUGAGUGAGAUCUACUACAAGAAGCAAUGUGAUGAAAUGGACUGGGUUGUAUUAGAGCCACGUUGGCUGUGCUACGACAUUAUUGGUCGACUGUUUGCAGGGGAUGACUUCCCUAGCAACAUCAGCCGUCUUGACAACAAGCAAUUGUAUUCAAUAUCAGAUAUAAGGGGGUUACUGCAAGAUCUAGCUGAUGCCGAUAUUCUUAUGGAUCUACUGCAACAUCUAGAGCUGGUGUUCCGCUAUGAUGACACGCGUUAUAUAAUACCAGCUCGGUUACCAAUGGAUUUAGAUCCUGUCGUUUGGAGUAAAGACCCACGUUUCACCGAGUAUUACGGGCGUAGAAUCGAAUGUAAAGACGACACUGAUAUAUUUUCCCCUGAUGUGUUUCCAUGUCUACAAGUGCGCAUCAUGAGGUGUUUCUGUGAUCUUCAAAGUGGAGUGUGCAUCUCUAGACACUCCCUUAAGUUUUCUCGAGACAUCGAGGGGCUAGUUCAACUGACAAGCUACCAGAGAGCGAUUCAUAUCUGUGUUCGUGGUAGAUCUGGAAAAGUAGAUCGCAGUGCUUGUUACACACAACUAGAGUAUGUGUUAGGUAUGGUGUUGAGUGAAAUUGAGCAUCGCUCACCAGGAACCGCUAUCAACAUCUGUUACCUCAGCCCAAGAUCCUUGCUACAGCAUAACGACUUGGAAGAUAUCUCCUUCUACACCGAGGCUGACAUCCAGUCUGCUAAGCAUCGUGUGGUUGUCCAUCCUAAGACUAGGAAUACUGAACUAGUAACUGAUGUACUGUGUGUGGGUUAUAAUAGCACCUUCCUGAGACGUGAUGGAUUAGAGUGUAGUAGUACUUGGCUGCUGGAAGAAGAUCUGGUAGCUCUCUGUCGAUGUUUGGAUAUUAUUCAUCCUCUAGGGCAGGACUACAGAGGUCUGGCAGAGGCGCUGGGUGUAACCGAGUCUGAAAUGGACUACAUGUAUCAUAUCUGUGUACGCAGAGAUACCUCACCAACGAGGGCGCUACUUGAGCGAGUUCAGCCCAGUGUAGGUCAUCUGAGAGCUAUUUGUAAGCACCCUGGUCUGGUAGGCUGCAAAGAGGCAGUUAAUGUCAUUGAUAAAAUGCUGCAACGAUUAGGACAUCAGGUGCCUGAUAGUGAUGCUAGCUUCAAUGUUGAGGAAAAGUACAAACCGGAUCAGCUCAGCAUUAAGGUCCUGGUCUGGAGAGAGGACUUGAGAUAUGAGGCUGGUGCCUUACGCGAAGUCUUAAACCCUGAAUCCUUACUAGCUUUGAACCCAUCAUUGUUUGAUAUCAGCGAUAGAGAGGAGAUUGAAGCCACUCAGAGGACAUUAGGAAGGACUAAAGCAGUGGAUAGGAUGCUCUAUAAAGUUAUAAGGUCACAGGAUAUGCAGUUGUAUCGUGACUUCAGUGUGGCUUUGGAAGGACAACAGAAUACUACAAAAGGUGUUGAGACAUUGACGGAGAUUAUUCCUAACGCACAAGGUUCUUACAAAGAUUAUAGUAUACCUGCUGCUAAGCCGUUACAAUCACUCCUUGAUCCUCACAAUAACUACUGUAUGUGGAAGGACACUAAGGGAUUGGCAUACGUCUUAAACAACAGCGAUUUCAAUGGUAGACGAAGGAAGGGGUCAGAGGUUGAUCUUGGUAAUAUAUGUCAUGUUCUUCAAGAACUAGGAUAUGUACUACAAGUUCACACCAAUUUAACUGCUAAGGAGAUAUCAGACAGCCUAGGAAGAUUUAGGAGCAGGUUUGAAUGUGAUGACUACUGCUCUGCGGUUGUUGUAUUAAUGAGUCAUGGUAAUACUGGAGUAAUUAAAGGAAUUGAUGAAACCAGCAUCCAACUCAGAAAUAUCUACUCAAUGUUUGAGGGUCACCGAUGCCCCGCUCUCCUCGGUAAACCUAAGCUGUUCUUCAUACAAGCCUGCAGGGGAGAUCAAAGCAUUCAACUAGUGGAAGCAGACAAUGAUAUUUGUGUGUCAGAUACUGAAUGUCACUCAGAUGAUGAUGAUGAUGAUGAUGAUGUUUCUAUCAAUGCUGAUUAUUCAUUUGCUAAUGACCUACCAGCUAAUGCUGACAUGUUCUUUGCCUAUGCGACAACUGAAGGAAGUGUGUCUCUCCGCAGUCAGGUCGAAGGUUCUUGGUUCAUCCAAGCAUUAUGUGAAGUGUUUAUACUAAGUGCAUCGGAGGAUAGUAUAGACACUCUUAUGAAUAAGGUUACAAACAGAGUGACAGGUCAACGAGGGGAGAUUCGAGACCCUUUGACCCGGAAGUUAAAGACGGCUUCACAGACCCCAGAAUGCAUCAAACGUAUGCGUAAGAAUAUGUACUUCCUGCCUAAAUAUCCCAACACUACACCCAGAGGGUCCACUUGGCUUUAGUUAAAGCUAUACAGGAAUGAAACCAGUCAUUGGAGAUUUACCUUCAAAGUUUGCUCUUCCGGCGUCUGCACCUUCACCCUCUGUUCUACCUCUCCCUGGUGCCUCCUGGCAAGGACCUCCAGAGGUUUCUCACGGAGAGGAAUUGGCUGAUCAGCUGAAUGUCAAAUGUAACAUGAACCCUAUGGUUGGCAUUGGACUUAGACGUGGACUCGGCCGUGGUUUUAUAAGAAACACCAAUCAGUGACAAGAAAAGAACUAUCCAUCCCCCAAAAAAAUCUGGUUUUUUUUUUUUGUUUUUAAAGAAAGUUCAAUGAGUUAUUAAAGGACACCGAGUGAGAGAGCAGACUGCUCCUCAUCUUUGACUUCAAUUAAAUAAACAUUCAUUUAUGUUUCAUUUUUGUUAUCCAACCAUGCCCUAUCUUUUAUCAAGCAUUCGCCACUUUCAAGCUAAAAAGACACUGUACACCUUUGUUAAAAAAAACACCCUUUUUGCACCAAUGUGUUUGCUUUCAGAUGCCUAAAAAGGGGCUUCAGGGCUGUGUAUUUUUUGAUCAGUGUUUUGUUUUUCACCUUCAUCUAUUUGAUUUUUUUUACACUGUGCAUUUGCCUUGAGCUAUAUUUUUAAUAAUUAAUUUGUUGUGUUCGGCUCUCCCGCAGACCUUUUAGUUCACAGAUGUGAACUUGCUAUUCUGUGUCUUUUUGGAGCAUUGCCUACAAGCUCUGCUUCUAAAAUGGAUCCCUAUGCGGUGUCAGUUUUUCUUCUUGAUAUAUCGUUACUGUAUUCUUUAGUGAUGUCUUUUAUUUGUUAAUACUGUGAACAAAAAAUUAAACCUUGAACCUUGAAUUGUGUAACCUUCAUUUUUUAUGCUAAGCAAGAUGUUUCUACAACACAACCAGCCAAAGAUUGCAAUCCAUACAUGUAGUACACGAGAGUUAGCUGGUCUCUACUCUUACAACGGGAAACCAGCAAAA